This 230-nucleotide unclassified non-coding RNA is filed under the name Glomeromycetes sp. RNAcentral describes it as "partial contains 5.8S ribosomal RNA and internal transcribed spacer 2". The stretch from base 1 to 65 matches the Rfam family "5.8S ribosomal RNA", at positions 84 to 154 of the family's 154-position model. Lineage: Eukaryota; Fungi; Glomeromycota; Glomeromycetes. The record is from RNAcentral.
GUGAAUCAUCAAAUUUUUGAACGCAAAUUGCACUCUCUUCGGAGAGUAUGACUGUUUGAGUGUCAGCCUAUAAAAAAUAGACAUCGUUGCUGUUUCUCGGUGGCGUUCGUCGGCAAUUGGGUUAUCUUGAAUCAUUUUGAUUUAAGUGACUUAAAAUUUUCUUUUGGUUUCAUGAAUGUUUAUAUUACUUAUUUAUUUAUACGUUUUCGGUAUCGUUAUUUACUAGAGGU